RNAcentral lists this transfer RNA (71 nucleotides) under Candidatus Wolfebacteria bacterium GW2011_GWB1_47_1. RNAcentral's name for it is "tRNA-Pro". It matches the Rfam family "tRNA". From Rfam's summary of the family: Transfer RNA (tRNA) molecules are approximately 80 nucleotides in length. The record is from RNAcentral. Lineage: Bacteria; Candidatus Wolfeibacteriota. RNAcentral also lists the same sequence under 1 other name.
CGGGCUGUAGUAUAAUGGUAGUAUACGAGCAUGGGGUGUUUGCGGCCCGGGUUCGAUUCCCGGCAGCCCGA